This 451-nucleotide ribosomal RNA is filed under the name uncultured Bacteroidales bacterium. RNAcentral describes it as "bacterial SSU rRNA". It matches the Rfam family "Bacterial small subunit ribosomal RNA", at positions 277 to 725 of the family's 1533-position model. Lineage: Bacteria; Pseudomonadati; Bacteroidota; Bacteroidia; Bacteroidales. The record is from RNAcentral.
CGAUGGAUAGGGGUUCUGAGAGGAAGGUCCCCCACAUUGGAACUGAGACACGGUCCAAACUCCUACGGGAGGCAGCAGUGAGGAAUAUUGGUCAAUGGACGAGAGUCUGAACCAGCCAAGUAGCGUGAAGGAUGACUGCCCUAUGGGUUGUAAACUUCUUUUAUAAAGGAAUAAAGUCGUCUAUGCAUACCCGUUUGCAUGUACCAUAUGAAUAAGGAUCGGCUAACUCCGUGCCAGCAGCCGCGGUAAUACGGAGGAUCCGAGCGUUAUCCGGAUUUAUUGGGUUUAAAGGGAGCGUAGAUGGAUGUUUAAGUCAGUUGUGAAAGUUUGCGGCUCAACCGUAAAAUUGCAGUUGAUACUGGCAGUCUUGAGUGCAGUAGAGGCGGGCGGAAUUCGUGGUGUAGCGGUGAAAUGCUUAGAUAUCACGAAGAACUCCGAUUGCGAAGGCAGC